GGCGAACGCUGGCGGCGUGCUUAACACAUGCAAGUCGAACGGAAGGGCCCUACUUGCGUGGGGUUCUCGAUUGGCGAACGGGUGAGUAACACGAGAAUAACCUGCUCUAGACUUUCGGAUAACUUCAGGAAACUGGAGCUAAUACCAUAUAGGAUCUGCUGCUGCAUUGUGGGGGGGGGAAAGUCUCGGCGGGUGGGGAUGGAUUCGCGGCUGAUCAGCUUGUUGGUGGGGUAGUGGCAUACCAAGGCUGUGACGGGUAGCCGGCCGGAGAGGGUGAACGGCGACCUGGGGACUGCGAUACGGCGCAGUGUGCUACGGGAGGCAGCAGUGGGGAGUCUUGUACAAUCGGAGCAAGUGUGAUGCAGAAGCGCCGGGUGCGGGAAGCCGGCUUUUGGGUUGAAAAACGCAUCAGGCUGUGACGACGCGUGAGUGACGGUACUGGGUAAAGAAGCACCGGCUAACUACGUG
This 468-nucleotide ribosomal RNA is filed under the name uncultured bacterium. RNAcentral's name for it is "partial 16S ribosomal RNA". It matches the Rfam family "Bacterial small subunit ribosomal RNA", at positions 28 to 507 of the family's 1533-position model. The record is from RNAcentral.